AUUGAACGCUGGCGGCAGGCUUAACACAUGCAAGUCGAACGAGUGGCGGACGGGUGAGUAAUGCUUGGGAAUCUAGCUUAUGGAGGGGGAUAACUACGGGAAACUGUAGCUAAUACCGCGUACCAUAGGAUGAGCCCAAGUGGGAUUAGGUAGUUGGUGAGGUAAAGGCUCACCAAGCCGACGAUCUCUAGCUGGUCUGAGAGGAUGACCAGCCACACUGGGACUGGGAAACGGCCCAGACGCCGACGGGAGGCAGCAGUGGGGAAUAGUGCGCAAUGGGGGCAACCUGACGCAGCCAUGCCGCGUGAAGUAAGAAGGCCUUCGGGAUGUAAAGUUCUUUCGUUAGGGAGGAGUUAACUACAGAAGAAGCACCGGCUAACUGCGUGCCAGCAGCCGCGGUAAUAC
This 405-nucleotide ribosomal RNA is filed under the name uncultured bacterium. RNAcentral's name for it is "partial 16S ribosomal RNA". It matches the Rfam family "Bacterial small subunit ribosomal RNA", at positions 30 to 526 of the family's 1533-position model. The record is from RNAcentral.